This 1402-nucleotide ribosomal RNA is filed under the name uncultured bacterium. RNAcentral's name for it is "16S ribosomal RNA". It matches the Rfam family "Bacterial small subunit ribosomal RNA". The record is from RNAcentral.
AGAGUUUUAUCCUGGCUCAGGAUGAACGCUAGCGGCAGGCUUAACACAUGCAAGUCGAGGGGCAGCGGGGAGGAAGCUUGCUUUCUCCGCCGGCGACCGGCGCACGGGUGAGUAACACGUAUGCAACCUGCCCCUGUCAGGGGGACAACCCGCCGAAAGGCGGGCUAAACCCGCGUACAUGCCACCGGGGCAUCCCGGAGGCAGGAAAGGCUUCGGCCGGACAGGGAUGGGCAUGCGGCGCAUUAGGCAGUAGGCGGGGUAACGGCCCACCUAACCGACGAUGCGUAGGGGUUCUGAGAGGAAGGUCCCCCACACUGGUACUGAGACACGGACCAGACUCCUACGGGAGGCAGCAGUGAGGAAUAUUGGUCAAUGGUCGGGAGACUGAACCAGCCAAGCCGCGUGAGGGAGGAAGGUACAGAGUAUCGUAAACCUCUUUUGUCAGGGAACAAAGGCGGGGACGUGUCCCCGGAUGAGUGUACCUGAAGAAAAAGCAUCGGCUAACUCCGUGCCAGCAGCCGCGGUAAUACGGAGGAUGCGAGCGUUAUCCGGAUUUAUUGGGUUUAAAGGGUGCGCAGGCGGUCUGUUAAGUCAGCGGUCAAAGCCCGGGGCUCAACCCCGGCCCGCCGUUGAAACUGGCAGUCUCGAGUUGGAGAGAAGUAUGCGGAAUGCGCGGUGUAGCGGUGAAAUGCAUAGAUAUCGCGCAGAACUCCGAUUGCGAAGGCAGCAUGCCGGCUCCACACUGACGCUGAGGCACGAAAGCGUGGGUAUCGAACAGGAUUAGAUACCCUGGUAGUCCACGCAGUAAACGAUGAAUGCUGGCUGUCCGGGGGGAUUGACCCCUGGGUGGCGAAGCGAAAGCGAUAAGCAUUUCACCUGGGGAGUACGCCGGCAACGGUGAAACUCAAAGGAAUUGACGGGGGCCCGCACAAGCGGAGGAACAUGUGGUUUAAUUCGAUGAUACGCGAGGAACCUUACCCGGGCUCAAACGGGGAGUGACUCAGGCAGAGACGCCUGUUUCCCACGGGACACUCCCCGAGGUGCUGCAUGGUUGUCGUCAGCUCGUGCCGUGAGGUGUCGGCUUAAGUGCCAUAACGAGCGCAACCCCCGCGUGCAGUUGCUAACAGAUAACGCUGAGGACUCUGCACGGACUGCCGGCGCAAGCCGCGAGGAAGGCGGGGAUGACGUCAAAUCAGCACGGCCCUUACGUCCGGGGCGACACACGUGUUACAAUGGGUGGUACAGCGGGAAGCCAGGCGGCGACGCCGAGCGGAACCCGAAAUCCACUCUCAGUUCGGAUCGGAGUCUGCAACCCGACUCCGUGAAGCUGGAUUCGCUAGUAAUCGCGCAUCAGCCAUGGCGCGGUGAAUACGUUCCCGGGCCUUGCACACACCGCCCGUCA